GGACGGAUGGCUGAGUCUGGUCGAAGGCACCGGUUUUGAAAACCGGCGUAGGGGUAACUCUACCGGGGGUUCGAAUCCCUCUCCGUCCG
This 89-nucleotide transfer RNA is filed under the name Mariniblastus sp. RNAcentral describes it as "tRNA-Ser". It matches the Rfam family "tRNA". Rfam says of the family: Transfer RNA (tRNA) molecules are approximately 80 nucleotides in length. Their secondary structure includes four short double-helical elements and three loops (D, anti-codon, and T loops). The record is from RNAcentral. Lineage: Bacteria; Pseudomonadati; Planctomycetota; Planctomycetia; Pirellulales; Pirellulaceae.